RNAcentral lists this unclassified non-coding RNA (149 nucleotides) under uncultured Sordariomycetes. RNAcentral's name for it is "sequence contains ITS2". The record is from RNAcentral. Lineage: Eukaryota; Fungi; Ascomycota; Sordariomycetes.
CAACCCUCAAGCUUUGCUUGGUGUUAGAGACCUACGGCUGUCCGUAGGCUCCGAAAGCUAGUGGCAGGCUCGUAGCUGCUCCGAGCGUAGUAGUGUACCUCGCUAAGGAAAGGCUGCGGGUUUCUAGCCGUUAAACCCCUUACUUUUAA